This 503-nucleotide ribosomal RNA is filed under the name uncultured bacterium. Its description in RNAcentral is "partial 16S ribosomal RNA". It matches the Rfam family "Bacterial small subunit ribosomal RNA", at positions 899 to 1397 of the family's 1533-position model. The record is from RNAcentral.
ACUCAAAGGAAUUGACGGGGGCCCGCACAAGCGGUGGAGCAUGUGGCUUAAUUCGUCACUAACCGAAGAACCUUACCAAGGUUUGACAUCCACUGUAAGUCCAUGAAAGUGGCACCCUCUGUAGCAAUACAGACAGUGAGACAGGUGUUGCAUGGCUGUCGUCAGCUCGUGUCGUGAGAUGUUGGGUUAAGUCCCGCAACGAGCGCAACCCUCAUCAGAUGUUGCCAGCGUAAAGUCGGGAACUCUUCUGAAACUGCCCGUGUAAGCGGGAGGAAGGUGGGGAUGACGUCAAGUCGGCAUGGCCCUUAUGCCUUGGGCUGCACACAUGCUACAAUGGUCGUUAACAAAGGGAUGCAAAGUCGCGAGGCAGAGCUAAUCUCAAAAAUACGGCCUCAGUUCGGAUUGCAGUCUGCAACUCGACUGCAUGAAGUCGGAAUCGCUAGUAACCGCAGGUCAGCUAAACUGCGGUGAAUACGUUCCCGGGCCUUGUACACACCGCCCGU